CCACGCCGCCCGCCCCCACGCCCCCACGCCCCACGACGCCCACCCCCACACCACUAUGCCCCCACGUGCCACGACGCCACGCCCCACGACGUCCUCCCUCACGCCCCCACGCCGCCCGCCCCCACGCCCCACGCCCCACGCCCCACGCCGUCCGCCCCCAAGCCCCCACGCCCCACGACGCCAGUCCCUAUGACGCCACGCCCGGGCAGCUUUGCGGGAAGGCGGCAGAACCCUGCGGCUGCGGAUGGAGCUGGCCGGCGGGGACUCUAGGGGACCGUCAGCUUUCAAAGGAGCCCCCUCCAAACCAGUGUUUCUGAAGCCCGGGAACAGACGCUCCGUCCGCCAGCGCUCAGAGAGGCCGCGGUUGAACUCCAAUAGCAGGAGAGCGGCUUUGAGUCGGCCCGAGAGGACCCUGUUUCUGAUGACAACGUGCAGUGUUCCGGAAGUUCCACCGAGAUGCCGUCGGCAUUGCUUUGCCUCAGAGCCCAGCCUCCUGCCGGACGUGGUGCCACAGAGGUCCCGUGUGCCUUGCGGCUGGCGUCUCGUUGAGUCUGCUCCGAUGUGUGACUCCUUUCUGCCCAGUGCAUGAGAUCUGAGAGACAACGUCAUGUACAUGUUCACUGGCCUCAGGAUCAGCCUAGUUCAGAUAUUAGCUCCGUCACAGAUUAGCUAUUGAAACCAUAUGACAUUUGAGUGACUUUCUUCAUCUUGCCGGGACUCAAUUUCUUUUCUUUUGUAAAGAAAAAUAAUAUAGUCCCUUUUUUCAGAAGAAACAAGAUAACAGUAAAGCAUGUAACCUAAACCUGUUAGAUAGUAAUUGUUGAGCAAAAUUUAGCUGUUGUUUUUCCUAAUUGUGGGGGAACUCCAAUUAUCAUAAAGUAUUAUUUUAUAUAUUCUCAAACACUUCAUACUGUAACUGUUUUUAUUAUAUAAUCAUCUUUGGUGGCAACAGUUAAAGCAAGCUUAUGUCACCUUCAGCAGGGUAACUCUUUAACUGGUAUGUCCUGGUGAAAAUUUUUCAUACAACUUCUAUGCAUUUUGCUUCACCCGUGAGUCAACAUAUCACUUUAAAUAUUUUUAAAGAAUCCUUAUUAAAAACUUGUUCACAAAGAUCUUGCAUAUUUGAAAAAGAAAGUGGUAGUGUAAAUACUUAUCUCUCAGAUUAAAUGGCUCUUCAGGCCUUCAGGUCUCCAGGUCUCACUAGUAAAGCUAAAGAAACGUAAUAAAGAAAUAAAAAUAGAUCA
RNAcentral lists this long non-coding RNA (1244 nucleotides) under Felis catus (domestic cat). RNAcentral describes it as "lncRNA (ENSFCAG00000044910.2)". The record is from RNAcentral. Lineage: Eukaryota; Metazoa; Chordata; Mammalia; Carnivora; Felidae.